GACGAACGCUGGCGGCGUGCCUAAUACAUGCAAGUAGAACGCUGAAGAGAGGAGCUUGCUCUUCUUGGAUGAGUUGCGAACGGGUGAGUAACGCGUAGGUAACCUGCCUUGUAGCGGGGGAUAACUAUUGGAAACGAUAGCUAAUACCGCAUAACAAUAGGUGACACAUGUCAUUUAUUUGAAAGGGGCAAUUGCUCCACUACAAGAUGGACCUGCGUUGUAUUGGCUAGUAGGUGAGGUAACGGCUCACCUAGGCGACGAUACAUAGCCGACCUGAGAGGGCGAUCGGCCACACUGGGACUGAGACACGGCCCAGACUCCUACGGGAGGCAGCAGUAGGGAAUCUUCGGCAAUGGGGGCAACCCUGACCGAGCAACGCCGCGUGAGUGAAGAAGGUUUUCGGAUCGUAAAGCUCUGUUGUAAGUCAAGAACGAGUGUGAGAGUGGAAAGUUCACACUGUGACGGUAACUUACCAGAAAGGGACGGCUAACUACGUGCCAGCAGCCGCGGUAAUACGUAGGUCCCGAGCGUUAUCCGGAUUUAUUGGGCGUAAAGCGAGCGCAGGCGGUUAGAUAAGUCUGAAGUUAAAGGCUGUGGCUUAACCAUAGUUCGCUUUGGAAACUGUUUAACUUGAGUGCAGAAGGGGAGAGUGGAAUUCCAUGUGUAGCGGUGAAAUGCGUAGAUAUAUGGAGGAACACCGGUGGCGAAAGCGGCUCUCUGGUCUGUAACUGACGCUGAGGCUCGAAAGCGUGGGGAGCAAACAGG
This 765-nucleotide ribosomal RNA is filed under the name uncultured Streptococcus sp. Its description in RNAcentral is "bacterial SSU rRNA". It matches the Rfam family "Bacterial small subunit ribosomal RNA", at positions 28 to 776 of the family's 1533-position model. Lineage: Bacteria; Bacillati; Bacillota; Bacilli; Lactobacillales; Streptococcaceae. The record is from RNAcentral.